Molecule: long non-coding RNA, 211 nt
Filed under: Eucalyptus grandis
Lineage: Eukaryota; Viridiplantae; Streptophyta; Magnoliopsida; Myrtales; Myrtaceae
Description: long non-coding RNA (EGRA_LNC006783)
Source: RNAcentral
CAGAAAGGGGGAAGGGAGAGAUAUUUAAGGAAAAGAUCAGCGAGAAGAGCUCUCUACAUUUGAAGUGCUUGAAUCGCGUAUCGAUGCAGUGCUGGUCCAUCGAAGAGUCUGUCAACUACUAUUGCAACAUCCUCAGUUUGUUCCCAUUUGAAGGCUUGUUUCCUUUGACUUCGACGGUGCUUGGUGCUUAUCAUGCUAUUGAUGUGAUAAG